RNAcentral lists this ribosomal RNA (253 nucleotides) under uncultured bacterium. Its description in RNAcentral is "partial 16S ribosomal RNA". It matches the Rfam family "Bacterial small subunit ribosomal RNA", at positions 524 to 776 of the family's 1533-position model. The record is from RNAcentral.
UACGGAAGGGGCAAGCGUUGUUCGGAAUUAUUGGGCGUAAAGGGCGCGUAGGUGGUCCUGUAUGUCUGCCGUGAAAGCGCGCGGCUCAACCGCGUUCCGUCGGUAGAAACUGCAAGACUAGAGGCUGGGAGGGGCUGGUGGAAUUCCCUGUGUAGCGGUGAAAUGCGUAGAGAUGGGGGAGAACACUCGUGGCGAAGGCGGCCAGCUGGACCAGUUCUGACACUGAGGCGCGAUAGCGUGGGGAGCAAACAGG